Molecule: long non-coding RNA, 843 nt
Organism: Pseudophryne corroboree (corroboree frog)
Lineage: Eukaryota; Metazoa; Chordata; Amphibia; Anura; Myobatrachidae
Exons: 3
Source: RefSeq, a predicted model, not a curated record
ACUGGUUAAGCAGGCCUGGGCGUGGCUUGUCCGGCACACAGCCGCAGGCUUCACUGUAAAGUGUUGUAACCCCGCCUCCAGGCCGCACCAAAUAUCUGCUCCCUCCCCUCCUCGGUCUGCACUCUGCACCCAGGCCGCCCAUGCUCAGAGGCAGCCAGACAGACAGGCAGCACCACAGCAGCGGAGCUUGGGUGUAGAGCCCGCUGGUGCUGGGCAGCAGAUCCUGACUCCAAUGCCUCCUCAUCUCCCGAGCCGAGACAGAUCAGCCUCCGCCUCCAGCUCAGGGACCUGCGGCAGUGUGGUGCAAUGAAGGGGCAUGCAGCAGUACUGUCAGCGCAGUACUAGCAGGAGGAGGCGGUCCAGCCAAUCCAGCCCCUCUCACCUUUUCUUCCUAUCUCUACCGCUGUUGCCCAAUGUCACGAUCCCACAAAAACCAGAAGAGCGGACCUGCUGGUGCUGAAAGGAGGACCCGUUGCUACCGACACUGAUGAGAAGGGAGACACGCCACUGCCCGAGACAGAAAGAUGACCUGCUCAUGCCCGGAUGGAUAUCAGGAUUCUGGAAUAGCAGAAUAAGGGAAGAUGGGCCAGGGGCCAAUUUAUACUUUCUAUUAACAUAAUCCAAAUGGAAAAUGAACAGGAAACUAUCAUAUGGGAUACCACAUUCUGGGGACGAUGAAUCUUUGGGAGCCAGAGGAGGGAGGAGACAGUAGAAAGGCCCAACCUCUCAGUCUCACUAUCAGCCCAGAAAUUCCCAGCACCAGGGCUACACCAUUGCACAAAGUUGGCAAGUUGUGCAGCAAGACAGUACCUCUUCAAAUUGGGAAUACCCAAACCUCCACUC